This 467-nucleotide ribosomal RNA is filed under the name uncultured bacterium. RNAcentral's name for it is "partial 16S ribosomal RNA". It matches the Rfam family "Bacterial small subunit ribosomal RNA", at positions 29 to 507 of the family's 1533-position model. The record is from RNAcentral.
ACGAACGCUGGCGGCGUGCUUAACCCAUGCAAGUCGAACGGAAAGGCCCUGCUUUUGUGGGGUGCUCGAGUGGCGAACGGGUGAGUAACACGUGAGUAACCUGCCCUUGACUUUGGGAUAACUUCAGGAAACUGGGGCUAAUACCGGAUAGGAGCUCCUGCUGCAUGGUGGGGGUUGGAAAGUUUCGGCGGUUGGGGAUGGACUCGCGGCUUAUCAGCUUGAUGGUGGGGUAGUGGCUUACCAAGGCUUUGACGGGUAGCCGGCCUGAGAGGGUGACCGGCCACAUUGGGACUGAGAUACGGCCCAGACUCCUACGGGAGGCAGCAGUGGGGAAUAUUGCACAAUGGGCGGAAGCCUGAUGCAGCAACGCCGCGUGCGGGAUGACGGCCUUCGGGUUGUAAACCGCUUUCGCCUGUGACGAAGCGUGAGUGACGGUAAUGGGUAAAGAAGCACCGGCUAACUACGUG